AUAGAGCGAGGACGCUAACAGGAACAAUGACUCAGGAUGAGGGUCAGGAGCGCCAGGAGGCGAAGACAGAGGAUUGUCAGGAAGAUAAACGUCCGGAGACGUAAUUAAAUGGAAAUGGAAUCAACACGGAUUGUUCCGGCUAAUGGAAAAACAGGGUGUGUUGGCGGCCUGCAAGGAUUGUAAGACCCGUUAAGGGUUAUGAGUCAG
RNAcentral lists this small RNA (207 nucleotides) under Escherichia coli MS 200-1. The record is from RNAcentral. Lineage: Bacteria; Pseudomonadati; Pseudomonadota; Gammaproteobacteria; Enterobacterales; Enterobacteriaceae.